This 72-nucleotide transfer RNA is filed under the name Pseudanthias huchtii (red-cheeked fairy basslet). RNAcentral's name for it is "tRNA-Trp". It matches the Rfam family "tRNA". From Rfam's summary of the family: Transfer RNA (tRNA) molecules are approximately 80 nucleotides in length. Lineage: Eukaryota; Metazoa; Chordata; Actinopteri; Perciformes; Anthiadidae. The record is from RNAcentral.
AAGGACUUAGGUUAAAUAUUAGACCAAGGGCCUUCAAAGCCCUAAGUGGGAGUGGGAGUCUUCCAGUCCUUG